GUAAUACUCCCUCCUUCUAGGAAUACUUGUCGGAGAAACGAAUAAAAAUGGAUGUAUGUAGAACUAAAAUACGUCUAAAUAUAUUCAUUUUCUAACAAAUAUUUUCAGAUGAAGGGAGUACAUA
This is a non-coding RNA of Triticum urartu, 124 nucleotides long. Lineage: Eukaryota; Viridiplantae; Streptophyta; Magnoliopsida; Poales; Poaceae. The record is from Rfam.